AGUGAACGCUGGCGGUAGGCCUAACACAUGCAAGUCGAACGGCAGCACAGUAAGAGCUUGCUCUUACGGGUGGCGAGUGGCGGACGGGUGAGGAAUACAUCGGAAUCUACUUUUUCGUGGGGGAUAACGUAGGGAAACUUACGCUAAUACCGCAUACGACCUACGGGGGAAAGCAGGGGAUCUUCGCACCUUGCGCGAUUGAAUGAGCUGAUGUCGGACUAGCUAGUUGGCGGGGUAAAGGCCCAGCAAGUCGACGAUCCGUAGCUGGUCUGAGAGGCUGGUCGGCCACACUGGAACGGAGACACGGUCCAGACUCCUGCGGGAGGCAGCAGUGUGGAAUAUUGGGCAAUGGGCGCAAGCCUGAUCCAGCCAUACCGCGUGUGUUAAGAAGGCCUUCGGGUCGUAAAGCCCUCUUGUUGGUAAAGAAAAGCAUCCGGUUGAGACCCCGCUGGACUGACGGUACCCAAUGAAUAAGCACCGGCUAACUUCGUG
This 492-nucleotide ribosomal RNA is filed under the name uncultured bacterium. RNAcentral describes it as "partial 16S ribosomal RNA". It matches the Rfam family "Bacterial small subunit ribosomal RNA", at positions 29 to 507 of the family's 1533-position model. The record is from RNAcentral.